Non-coding RNA from Caenorhabditis elegans, 21 nucleotides. The record is from Ensembl. Lineage: Eukaryota; Metazoa; Nematoda; Chromadorea; Rhabditida; Rhabditidae.
UUGCAAACCACCACAACAUUG